UUAGUAGAGUGGAAUGCC
Molecule: microRNA, 18 nt
Filed under: Ciona intestinalis (vase tunicate)
Lineage: Eukaryota; Metazoa; Chordata; Ascidiacea; Phlebobranchia; Cionidae
Description: cin-miR-4167-5p
Source: miRBase by way of RNAcentral